RNAcentral lists this ribosomal RNA (465 nucleotides) under uncultured bacterium. RNAcentral describes it as "bacterial SSU rRNA". It matches the Rfam family "Bacterial small subunit ribosomal RNA", at positions 1036 to 1498 of the family's 1533-position model. The record is from RNAcentral.
AGGUGCUGCAUGGCUGUCGUCAGCUCGUGUCGUGAGAUGUUGGGUUAAGUCCCGCAACGAGCGUAACCCUUGUCUUUAGUUGCCAAUAUUAGGUUAGGCACUCUAAAGAGACUGCCUCGGUUAACGGGGAGGAAGGUGGGGAUGACGUCAAGUCCUCAUGGCCUUUAUACCCAGGGCUACACACGCGCUACAAUGGGCUGUACAAAGGGUUGCCACUCUGCGAGGAGGCGCUAAUCCCAAAAAGCAGUCCUCAGUUCGGAUUGGAGUCUGCAACUCGACUCCAUGAAGGUGGAAUCGCUAGUAAUCGUGGAUCAGCAUGCCACGGUGAAUACGUUCCCGGGCCUUGUACACACCGCCCGUCACACCACGAAAGUCGACUGUACCAGAAGUUGCUGGGCCAACCCCUUUUGGGGGGGCAGGUACCUAAGGUACGGCCGGUAAUUGGGGUGAAGUCGUAACAAGGUA